Small nuclear RNA from Podarcis raffonei (Aeolian wall lizard), 107 nucleotides. Lineage: Eukaryota; Metazoa; Chordata; Lepidosauria; Squamata; Lacertidae. The record is from RefSeq and is a predicted model, not a curated record.
GUGUUCAUGUUGGCAGCGCAUGUGCCAAAAUUGGAACGAUGCAGAGAAGAUCCGCAUGGCCCCUGCACAAGGACAACAGGCAAAUUCGUGAAGCGUCCCCACAUUUC